ACGUUGGGAAAGCGAGCGGCGGAUGGGUGAGUAACACGUGGGGAACCUGCCCCUAAGUCUGGGAUACCAUUUGGAAACAGGUGCUAAUACCGGAUAAUAAAGCAGAUCGCAUGAUCAGCUUUUGAAAGGCGGCGUAAGCUGUCGCUAAGGGAUGGCCCCGCGGUGCAUUAGCUAGUUGGUAAGGUAACGGCUUACCAAGGCGACGAUGCAUAGCCGAGUUGAGAGACUGAUCGGCCACAUUGGGACUGAGACACGGCCCAAACUCCUACGGGAGGCAGCAGUAGGGAAUCUUCCACAAUGGACGCAAGUCUGAUGGAGCAACGCCGCGUGAGUGAAGAAGGUUUUCGGAUCGUAAAGCUCUGUUGUUGGUGAAGAAGGAUAGAGGUAGUAACUGGCCUUUAUUUGACGGUAAUCAACCAGAAAGUCACGGCUAACUACGUGCCAGCAGCCGCGGUAAUACGUAGGUGGCAAGCGUUGUCCGGAUUUAUUGGGCGUAAAGCGAGCGCAGGCGGAAAAAUAAGUCUAAUGUGAAAGCCCUCGGCUUAACCGAGGAACUGCAUCGGAAACUGUUUUUCUUGAGUGCAGAAGAGGAGAGUGGAACUCCAUGUGUAGCGGUGGAAUGCGUAGAUAUAUGGAAGAACACCAGUUGGCGAAGGCGGCUCUCUGGUCUGCAACUGACGCUGA
This 684-nucleotide ribosomal RNA is filed under the name uncultured bacterium. RNAcentral's name for it is "bacterial SSU rRNA". It matches the Rfam family "Bacterial small subunit ribosomal RNA", at positions 80 to 749 of the family's 1533-position model. The record is from RNAcentral.